This 72-nucleotide transfer RNA is filed under the name Urocitellus parryii (Arctic ground squirrel). RNAcentral's name for it is "Spermophilus parryii (Arctic ground squirrel) tRNA". It matches the Rfam family "tRNA". From Rfam's summary of the family: Transfer RNA (tRNA) molecules are approximately 80 nucleotides in length. Their secondary structure includes four short double-helical elements and three loops (D, anti-codon, and T loops). Further hydrogen bonds mediate the characteristic L-shaped molecular structure. tRNAs have two regions of fundamental functional importance: the anti-codon, which is responsible for specific mRNA codon recognition, and the 3' end, to which the tRNAs corresponding amino acid is attached (by aminoacyl-tRNA synthetases). tRNAs cope with the degeneracy of the genetic code in two manners: having more than one tRNA (with a specific anti-codon) for a particular amino acid; and 'wobble' base-pairing, i.e. permitting non-standard base-pairing at the 3rd anti-codon position. The record is from Rfam by way of RNAcentral. Lineage: Eukaryota; Metazoa; Chordata; Mammalia; Rodentia; Sciuridae. RNAcentral also lists the same sequence under 1 other name.
GGGGUUGUGGCUCAGUGGUAGAGUACUUGCCUAGCAUGUGUGAGGCACUGGGUUCCAUUCUCAGCACCACUU